Molecule: ribosomal RNA, 459 nt
Filed under: uncultured bacterium
Lineage: Bacteria
Description: partial 16S ribosomal RNA
Rfam family: Bacterial small subunit ribosomal RNA
Source: RNAcentral
CCUACGGGCGACAGCAGUGAGGAAUAUUGGUCAAUGGACGGAAGUCUGAACCAGCCAUGCCGCGUGCAGGAAGACGGCUCUAUGAGUUGUAAACCUCUUUUGUCAGGGAGCAAGGUGCAGGUCGGGACCUGCUGUGAGAGUACCUGAAGAAAAAGCAUCGGCUAACUCCGUGCCAGCAGCCGCGGUAAUACGGAGGAUGCGAGCGUUAUCCGGAUUUAUUGGGUUUAAAGGGUGCGCAGGCGGAGGCACAAGUCAGCGGUAAAAUCGCGGGGCUCAACCCCGCUCCGCCGUUGAAACUGUGUCCCUGGAGUGCGCGAAGGGUAGGCGGAAUGCGUGGUGUAGCGGUGAAAUGCAUAGAUAUCACGCAGAACUCCGAUCGCGAAGGCAGCCUACCGGCGCGCAACUGACGCUCAUGCACGAAAGCGUGGGUAUCGAACAGGAUUAGAUACCCUGGUAGUC